AUUGAACGCUGGCGGCAGGCCUAACACAUGCAAGUCGAGCGCGCGGCGGGCGGGUGAGAAAUGUGUGUGGACUUCCGGAUAGAGGGGGAUAACGACUGGAAACGGUAGCUAAUACCGCAUACUAUCGGAUAACCCAUAUGGGAGUAGCUAGUGGGUGGGGUAAUGGCUCACAACGGCGACGAUGCCUAGCUGGUCUGAGAGGAUGAUCAGCCACACUGGGACUGAGACACGGCCCAGACGCCUACGGAGGCAGCAGUGGGGAAUAUGGGGCAAUGGGCGCAAGCCUGAGGCAGCCAUGCCGCGUGUAUGAAGAAGGCCCUAGGGUUGUAAAGUACUUUCGGUCGGGAGGCGUUACCGACAGAAGAAGCACCGGCUAACUCCGUGCCAGCAGCCGCGGUAAUAC
Molecule: ribosomal RNA, 403 nt
Filed under: uncultured bacterium
Lineage: Bacteria
Description: partial 16S ribosomal RNA
Rfam family: Bacterial small subunit ribosomal RNA
Source: RNAcentral